GACGAACCGUGCGAACGUUAUUCGGAAUCACUGGGCUUAAAGCGCAGGUAGGCGGCUUGAUAAGUCUUUUGUGAAAGCUCCUGGCUUAACUGGGAGAGGUCAAAGGAAACUGUCAGGCUAGAGUUUGGUAGGGGAUACUGGAAUUCCUGGUGUAGCGGUGAAAUGCGUAGAUAUCAGGAGGAAUACCUAUGGCGAAAGCAGGUAUCUGGGCCACAACUGACGCUGAGCUGCGAAAGCUAGGGGAGCAAACAGG
RNAcentral lists this ribosomal RNA (253 nucleotides) under uncultured bacterium. RNAcentral's name for it is "partial 16S ribosomal RNA". It matches the Rfam family "Bacterial small subunit ribosomal RNA", at positions 524 to 776 of the family's 1533-position model. The record is from RNAcentral.